UAGGGAAUAUUGCACAAUGGGCGAAAGCCUGAUGCAGCAACGCCGCGUGUGCGAUGAAGGCCUUCGGGUCGUAAAGCACUUUUCUGGGAGAUGAGAAAGGACAGUAUCUCAGGAAUAAGUCUCGGCUAACUACGUGCCAGCAGCCGCGGUAAAACGUAGGAGGCAAGCGUUAUCCGGAUUCACUGGGUGUAAAGCGCGUGCAGGCGGUUCGGUAAGUUGGGCGUGAAAUCUCCUGGCUCAACUAGGAGAGGUCGUUCAAUACUACCGGACUUGAGAGUGGUAGAGGAAGAUGGAAUUCCCGGUGUAGUGGUGAAAUGCGUAGAUAUCGGGAGGAACACCAGUGGCGAAGGCGAUCUUCUGGACCAUUUCUGACGCUCAGACGCGACAGCUAGGGUAGCAAAC
This 402-nucleotide ribosomal RNA is filed under the name uncultured bacterium. RNAcentral describes it as "bacterial SSU rRNA". It matches the Rfam family "Bacterial small subunit ribosomal RNA", at positions 355 to 773 of the family's 1533-position model. The record is from RNAcentral.